CUCCCUCUGUGUCAGUCGAUGGGGGACGUGUUCAGGGCCCUGGAAGCCUGGGACGCUGUGGUGUGGGUGUACUUGCUCCCAUGAGGAAGAGGGUCACCGCCACAGUUUCACUGACUUUUCUGUUUUGUCUUGAUUUUGGCAGCUCCAUCCUGGAAUUGUUCCCCAAGUUACUAACGUUGGAUGACCAGGAGACAUCCCCACUGGCUAAGUGUGGUUUUGAAGCCUGCAAGCGCUUACCAACCUGCAAGGGAAGCUACUUUGGAUCUGAUGAGCUGAAGAACCUA
Orcinus orca (killer whale) is the source of this 284-nucleotide long non-coding RNA. RefSeq lists it as uncharacterized. The transcript is spliced from 3 exons. The record is from RefSeq and is a predicted model, not a curated record. NCBI's taxonomy places the organism in Eukaryota, Metazoa, Chordata, Mammalia, Artiodactyla, Delphinidae.